GGAAGUGACGUCGUGUGGGGUGGGUCCGGCCGCGCACAAUGGGCCAUGGAGUUCCCGUUCGAUGUGGACGCGCUGCUCCCGGAGCGGAUCACAGUGCUCGACCAGCACCUGCGGCCCCCGGCCCGCCGACCCGGAACCACAACGUCGGCUCGUGUUGAUCUGCAGCAGCAAAUUAUGACCAUUGUAGAUGAACUGGGCAAGGCUUCUGCCAAGGCUCAGCAUCUUUCUGCUCCCAUCACCAGUGCAUCGAGGAUGCAGAGUAACCGCCAUGUUAUUUAUGUGCUGAAAGACACUUCAGCCCGACCGGCUGGAAAAGGAGCCAUUAUUGGUUUCCUCAAAGUUGGAUACAAGAAGCUCUUUGUACUGGAUGAUCGUGAGGCUCAUAAUGAAGUUGAACCACUUUGCAUCCUGGACUUUUACAUCCAUGAGACUGUGCAACGCCAUGGCCAUGGGCGAGAACUCUUCCAGUAUAUGUUGCAGAAGGAGCGAGUGGAACCACACCAACUGGCCAUUGACCGACCAUCACAGAAGCUGCUGAAAUUCCUGAAUAAGCACUACAAUCUGGAGACCACAGUCCCGCAGGUGAACAACUUUGUGAUCUUUGAAGGCUUCUUUGCCCAUCAACAUCGGCCCCCUGCUCCCUCUCUGAGGGCAACUCGACAUUCCGGUGCUGCUGCGGCCGAGCCCGCGCCCGCUGCUCCACCAAGGAAGCUGCCACCCAAGAGAGCAGAGGGAGACAUCAAGCCAUACUCCUCUAGUGAUCGAGAAUUUCUGAAAGUAGCUGUGGAGCCUCCUUGGCCCCUAAAUAGAGCCCCUCGUCGUGCCACCCCUCCAGCUCACCCACCCCCUCGCUCCAGCAGCCUGGGAAACUCACCAGAACGGGGUCCCCUCCGCCCCUUCGUGCCAGAGCAGGAGCUGCUGCGUUCCCUUCGCCUCUGCCCCCCACACCCCACUGCCCGCCUUCUGCUGGCUGCUGACCCUGGGGGCAGCUCAGCCCAACGUCGCCGCACCAGCUCCCUUCCCCGCUCUGAUGAGAGUCGAUACUGACUGCCACCUCUCCCCUCUCUACGAGACCCCCCUUCCUGAGAACCUCAGAUCCCUUCUUCUAUUGCAUUCUUUAGGACCCAGUGGAAACUAACAGAGCUCAUAGGAUUCCCUCUUCCCCCUUUUUUGGACAACUGGGUUGUCAGGGUCCCAAAUGGCCUAACACUUUGUAGCUUUUCUUACCACAAAAUCACCCCUCCUCACUUAACUUGGGCUCUGAAUACUCUCCCCACAGACAGCCUGAUCCGUUGCCAGCCCCCUUGGUUGGGUGGCUCAUACUAAUUUUCUAGAGAAGCAUUCUUGCUUGCUGUCACUCUAGAAUACCAUGGAAGGUCCAAGGGCUUCCUCUGCGAGGGCAACCUUUUAAGGAGUCUCAUCCAUGAAAUAAACCCCAUGUUUCCCCUACAGUGUCUGCUGGUGGCUCGAAUGCUGCUUUGUGCUGCCUGCCACAUUUGCCGUUUGAGCCUGCUAAUGCCAGCAACGAGUGAGCUCUGCUUCAGAGCAGUCCAGUUACGUAGGACAGGGACUUACCAGCUCCCCAAAGGGAUCCACUCAACGUUGCCAGACUCUUAAUUUCCACUUGUUUUGUGUGUCAGGGAACCCCAAAUCGAUGCUUCUUUGGGAUCUCUAAAGGAGACUGGCUGACACCACCACUUCCUCCAGAUCCAGAGUCUCCGAGGCACUUUGUUUUUUGGCAGUAGAUCCCAGCAAAAACCCCAGGACCACUCUUAGCCAUUUUUCAGAAAAUGAGUCAAGGAUCUAUUAGAUCCUAGAAUCCCUUCUCACACCCGUCCUUCCCUGGAAGUUAGAUGCUAAUAUAUUUGUGUCUUGAGACUGUCUUGAGAUGGGAGACCAUGCUUCCGAAUCUGGCCUUUCUCUCUUCUUUCCUCUGUAGCAAGAACCUCCUUCCCUGCUCCAUGCCCAGGGUGUAGCUAGAUGUUCCCCCUUCCUACCCUCUGACCGUAUGGUAGAUCAGGUACCCUACUGUAUUCCCUCAAACCCUUGGGAGCCGGAUCUCCCCCCACCCCCAACUCACUCCUCCAUAUUCUUCCACUUAGUGUUGUCUGAAUAAAGUGUGAAUUCUUUUGUGUUUUCUAAAUUGACAUUUUCAAUGGGGAAAAAAAAAGAACUACACACAAAAAAACCACCUUAAGGUGUCAGCCUCAUUUAUGCAUUACCCUGUAUUUUCCUGGGAUCUCAGGACUAAUAUCCAUCUCAUUUUCUUCACUUCUGAGGUCUGCAGAUCUUUUACCAAGGAGCCUCAGAGCUCCCCUUCCAGGAUCUGGUUUCUGGCCAUCCCCAUCUUCAUUGCUGGUUCUUCUGUGGAGUCUUGGGUCUCCUCUUAUGUAGUUGCUGUAUCCCUCUGUCUAGGCUUCUCUACCUACUCCCCAUUCCCUCCAAGAACCUCUAGUUCUCCCUAGUGACUUCUACCCUUUACCCCAGGCCAGCCCCUUUCUGAGGUCAGUUGUCAAGACUGACCAACAUCUCUGGAUUCCUCUUCCCAGUAUGUGAUUUCCUGAUGUGUGUCCCACUUCACCCUUGGAUCUCUCUCCCCUACCUCCACUGAGAGUCCAACACAGUCUGGCACCCUGUUCCUGAGGCUACUUUCCUUUUCCUCCUAAAUUCAGCCUUGUAACUCCCUAUAUCCCUCUGGUCUGAGGUAUCUUAUACUUGAGGUAACCAUGUUUUCUGAGCCAAAUAUCAGGGUACCUGGUCCUACAAAUUCUUUUUUGCCUAUAUAUGACUCUGUUCUUAAGAUUUGGGUCACAUUUAGCCAUACAUUGAACACCUUACCUCAGCCAGAAAGAAUAAAGCAACAAAUCAGGACUGCUCCAGAAAAUCUUCGGGUAUAUAAUGAGCUCCUUGUCCCCUUCUCUCUGUUCCUGCCCUGUUCCUCUCCUCUGAUUCCUCCAUACUCACCCAUCUUUCAUCCUGUAGCCUCUUCCCCAUCAUCUCCCAUUUCUUCUACAGGGGGACUCCCCCAGGGCUGGUGGCCCAAAGGUGCUGCUACAGCCGCCAUGGGGGGUUGAAUUCCUCAUCUCCCAGUGCAGGCAACCAAGAUUCGAAGCAG
Microcebus murinus (gray mouse lemur) is the source of this 3115-nucleotide non-coding RNA. Lineage: Eukaryota; Metazoa; Chordata; Mammalia; Primates; Cheirogaleidae. The record is from RefSeq and is a predicted model, not a curated record.